AACCGUGAGACAGGUGCUGCAUGGCUGUCGUCAGCUCGUGUUGUGAAAUGUUGGGUUAAGUCCCGCAACGAGCGCAACCCUUAUCCUUUGUUGCCAGCGGUCCGGCCGGGAACUCAAAGGAGACUGCCAGUGAUAAACUGGAGGAAGGUGGGGAUGACGUCAAGUCAUCAUGGCCCUUACGACCAGGGCUACACACGUGCUA
This 202-nucleotide ribosomal RNA is filed under the name Salmonella enterica subsp. enterica serovar Senftenberg. Its description in RNAcentral is "partial 16S ribosomal RNA". It matches the Rfam family "Bacterial small subunit ribosomal RNA", at positions 1025 to 1227 of the family's 1533-position model. RNAcentral also lists the same sequence under 2 other names. The record is from RNAcentral. Lineage: Bacteria; Pseudomonadati; Pseudomonadota; Gammaproteobacteria; Enterobacterales; Enterobacteriaceae.